ACUUGAAUAUUAGUAGUUAUGGUCUUUAAAUUCAAAGAAUUUGGCGGUAUUUUAGUCUUGUUAGAGGAACCUGUUCUGUAAAUGAUACAACACGAAGAAUCUUACUUACUCUUGUUUAACAGUUUGUAUACCGUCAUUAUUAGAUAACCUUUGUUGGGGAAGUUAUUGAAAUUUAAGAAGUUGGAGCAUAUUAGAUCAAGGUGCAGUUUAUGGGUAAGAAGUAAUGGGUUACAAUAAAAUUUAUUUAUACGGAUCAGCGAUUGAAUAGUUUCUGUAAAGGAGGAUUUAAUUGUAACAUAUAAUUUAAUAAGUUAGUGUGAUAUGAGAACUAAAAUAUGUACAUAU
This 345-nucleotide ribosomal RNA is filed under the name Cherax monticola. Its description in RNAcentral is "partial 12S ribosomal RNA". The record is from RNAcentral. Lineage: Eukaryota; Metazoa; Arthropoda; Malacostraca; Decapoda; Parastacidae.